CCUGGUGGCCAUAGCAGAGUGGAAAUACCCGUUCCCAUCCCGAACACGGAAGUCAAGCGCUCUCACGCCGAUGGUACUGCAGAGAUGCGGGAGAGUAGGUAGCCGCCAGGU
RNAcentral lists this ribosomal RNA (111 nucleotides) under Spirochaetales bacterium. The record is from RNAcentral. Lineage: Bacteria; Pseudomonadati; Spirochaetota; Spirochaetia; Spirochaetales.